GCACGUUAUGGUGGGCGACUCUAAGGAGGACUGCCGGUGACAAACCGGAACGGAAGGUAGGGGAGUGACGUCAAGUCAUCAUGGCCCUUACGGCCUGGGCUACACACGUGCUACAAUGGUCGGUACAAAGGGUUGCCAAGCCGCGAGGUGGAGCUAAUCCCAUAAAACCGAUCGUAGUCCGGAUCGCAGUCUGCAACUCGACUGCGUGAAGUCGGAAUCGCUAGUAAUCGUGAAUCAGAAUGUCACGGUGAAUACGUUCCCGGGCCUU
RNAcentral lists this ribosomal RNA (268 nucleotides) under uncultured Pseudomonas sp. RNAcentral's name for it is "partial 16S ribosomal RNA". It matches the Rfam family "Bacterial small subunit ribosomal RNA", at positions 1121 to 1382 of the family's 1533-position model. The record is from RNAcentral. Lineage: Bacteria; Pseudomonadati; Pseudomonadota; Gammaproteobacteria; Pseudomonadales; Pseudomonadaceae.